Molecule: ribosomal RNA, 253 nt
Filed under: uncultured bacterium
Lineage: Bacteria
Description: partial 16S ribosomal RNA
Rfam family: Bacterial small subunit ribosomal RNA
Source: RNAcentral
UACGUAGGGUGCGAGCGUUGCCCGGAUUUAUUGGGCGUAAAGAGCGUGUAGGCGGCUUGGAAGGUCAGCUGUGAAAACUCGAGGCUCAACCUCGAGACGUCGGUUGAAACCACCUGGCUAGAGUCCGGAAGAGGAGAGUGGAAUUCCCGGUGUAGCGGUGAAAUGCGCAGAUAUCGGGAAGAACACCCGUGGCGAAGGCGGCUCUCUGGGACGGUACUGACGCUGAGACGCGAAAGCGUGGGGAGCGAACAGG